Molecule: ribosomal RNA, 446 nt
Filed under: uncultured bacterium
Lineage: Bacteria
Description: partial 16S ribosomal RNA
Rfam family: Bacterial small subunit ribosomal RNA
Source: RNAcentral
CCUACGGGAGACAGCAGUGGGGAAUAUUGGGCAAUGGGCGCAAGCCUGACCCAGCAACGCCGCGUGAAGGAUGAAGGCUUUCGGGUUGUAAACCUCUUUCAACAGGGAAGAACGAUAAAUUUGCUAGUCCCUGGAGAAUAAGCUCCGGCUAACAACGUGACAGCAGCUGCGGCAAUACGUAGGGAGCGAGUUUUACCCGGAAUGAUGGGGCGAAAGGGGUUCAUAGAUGGCAUAGCACGUCUUUUGUAAAAAUGCUGGGCUCAACCCAGUAGGGCCAAAGAAACUGCAAAACUAGAGUGUGACAGAGGAAAGUGGAACUACAUGUGUAGCGGUAAAAUGCGUAAAUAUCUGUAGGAACAUCAGUGGCGAAGGCGACUUUCUGGGUCAAUACUGACACUGAGGAGCGAAAGCGUGGGGAGCAAACAGGAUUAGAUACCCCAGUAGUC